CAGUAGCCGCGGUAAUACGGAGGAUCCAAGCGUUAUCCGGAAUCAUUGGGUUUAAAGGGUCCGUAGGCGGUCUUGUAAGUCAGUGGUGAAAGCCCAUCGCUCAAUGGUGGAACGGCCAUUGAUACUGCAGGACUUGAAUUAUUGGGAAGUAACUAGAAUAUGUAGUGUAGCGGUGAAAUGCUUAGAGAUUACAUGGAAUACCAAUUGCGAAGGCAGGUUACUACCAAUUGAUUGACGCUGAUGGACGAAAGCGUGGGUAGCGAACAGGAUUAGAUACCCGCGUAGUCCCUGUCUCUUAUAC
Molecule: ribosomal RNA, 301 nt
Filed under: uncultured bacterium
Lineage: Bacteria
Description: partial 16S ribosomal RNA
Rfam family: Bacterial small subunit ribosomal RNA
Source: RNAcentral